CAAUGCCGCGUGAGUGAUGAAGGCCUUAGGGUUGUAAAGCUCUUUUACCCGGGAAGAUAAUGACUGUACCGGGAGAAUAAGCCCCGGCUAACUCCGUGC
Molecule: ribosomal RNA, 99 nt
Filed under: uncultured bacterium
Lineage: Bacteria
Description: partial 16S ribosomal RNA
Rfam family: Bacterial small subunit ribosomal RNA
Source: RNAcentral